Molecule: ribosomal RNA, 508 nt
Filed under: uncultured Pseudomonadota bacterium
Lineage: Bacteria; Pseudomonadati; Pseudomonadota
Description: bacterial SSU rRNA
Rfam family: Bacterial small subunit ribosomal RNA
Source: RNAcentral
UGGGGAAUCUCGGACAAUGGGGGAAACCCUGAUCCAGCCAUGCCGCGUGAACGAUGAAGGCCUUAGGGUUGUAAAGUUCUUUCAGCGGGGAAGAUAAUGACGGUACCCGCAGAAGAAGCCCCGGCUAACUCCGUGCCAGCAGCCGCGGUAAUACGGAGGGGGCUAGCGUUGUUCGGAAUUACUGGGCGUAAAGCGCACGUAGGCGGAUAUUUAAGUCGGGGGUGAAAUCCCGGGGCUCAACCCCGGAACUGCCUUCGAUACUGGAUGUCUGGAGUCCGAGAGAGGUGAGUGGAAUUCCGAGUGUAGAGGUGAAAUUCGUAGAUAUUCGGAGGAACACCAGUGGCGAAGGCGGCUCACUGGCUCGGUACUGACGCUGAGAUGCGAAAGCGUGGGGAGCAAACAGGAUUAGAUACCCUGGUAGUCCACGCCGUAAACUAUGAGAGCUAGUCGUCGGGCAGCAUGCUGUUCGGUGACGCAGCUAACGCAAUAAGCUCUCCGCCUGGGGACG